UAGCCUGAGGAGGUUCAGAGUUUGUUGCAGGAGAGGGUUCCAGAUCAUCAUAUUCAUAAGCUGCAACAAGUCUCCUUCUUUUCUGCUUUGGUGGAGAAGCAGCUUCAGUGUUUAUAGUCUUAGAGACUGUAUCAGAGUUUACAGUAGGAACUGUAUCAGAGUUUGUUGGCACAUCAGACUUUGUCUUCAGAACUUGUGUAGUAACAGAGGUUCUGGUCUUCAUAGUGGAAGGGGCUGCAUCAGACUUUGUAGCCCUUUUU
This 260-nucleotide long non-coding RNA is filed under the name Daucus carota (carrot). RNAcentral's name for it is "long non-coding RNA (DCAR_LNC003331)". Lineage: Eukaryota; Viridiplantae; Streptophyta; Magnoliopsida; Apiales; Apiaceae. The record is from RNAcentral.